CAGUAGCCGCGGGAAUACGUAGGUGGCAAGCGUUGUCCGGAAUUAUUGGGCGUAAAGGGCUCGCAGGCGGUUUCUUAAGUCUGAUGUGAAAGCCCCCGGCUCAACCGGGGAGGGUCAUUGGAAACUGGGAAACUUGAGUGCAGAAGAGGAGAGUGGAAUUCCACGUGUAGCGGUGAAAUGCGUAGAGAUGUGGAGGAACACCAGUGACGAAGGCGACUCUCUGGUCUGUAACUGACGCUGAGGAGCGAAAGCGUGGGGAGCGAACAGGAUUAGAUACCCCGGUAGUCCCUGUCUCUUAUAC
This 301-nucleotide ribosomal RNA is filed under the name uncultured bacterium. RNAcentral describes it as "partial 16S ribosomal RNA". It matches the Rfam family "Bacterial small subunit ribosomal RNA", at positions 509 to 807 of the family's 1533-position model. The record is from RNAcentral.